GGGCGACCCAGAGGGCCGCGGGGCUGCCGUCGGCUCGGCGCGCCCGGGCGCCGCGGAGACCACGAACUUGCCAGCGUCCCGGCGGCGGCACCGAGUCCCUUUGGCCCCGAGUGGCGCGGACGGGAUGCCCCCCUCCCCGGUCGCGGGGCAGCGGUGCUUGGCUGGCCAGGACGGUCACGUGAGGGGCCGUGCCCUCCGCAUUGGGAGCCCGCGGGCCUACCCGGGACAGGACCCCCCCGGGACCCGCCUGACCCUCCGGUUUCAGUUCCGACACGCUCGGCCCGAGCCUUGGCCAGGCUGGCCCGCCUCUUCUGCUGCCGUCUCUGCCUUUGCCCUGGUUUAACGCCGGGUUGGAGGAGCUGGGCCAGAGGAACGGAACUGGGUCGAAACUGUUCAGACCGGAGUUGCCCAAACUUUGGCCGCCCCGGGGAACCUUUCGCAAUCUCCAGGCUCUGGCCUCUCGGAGCUCCAGUUAAGCCGGAAUGUCAGGGAAGGGGUCAUUAAAGGAUUCCCCAGUGUCUUAUACAGUAGCCCAGAUUGGCUUUGAACUGCUGGGAAUACUCCUGCGUCGGUGCUGGGAUUCCAGGAAUCCACCACCAUGACCUGAUGGUCUGUCAUGUGUUUGGAAGAGUGUUCACAAUGUGAGGACACCUUAGUCACGAUGCUACUUUAAUAAUUAAUGGGAAAAGCGUUAGCUGAUCUCUCAUCUCGUGGAACAAAAAUGUUUAUACUGUUUGCCUGUUGAAUAGUAACAAACUGGCCAACAUUUGAAAGCUUCCAAUAUAAAUAAAGCAUUUUACUGACAAUUUUA
Molecule: non-coding RNA, 811 nt
Organism: Peromyscus maniculatus bairdii (prairie deer mouse)
Lineage: Eukaryota; Metazoa; Chordata; Mammalia; Rodentia; Cricetidae
Source: RefSeq, a predicted model, not a curated record